RNAcentral lists this transfer RNA (73 nucleotides) under Flavobacteriaceae bacterium. RNAcentral's name for it is "tRNA-Lys". It matches the Rfam family "tRNA". From Rfam's summary of the family: Transfer RNA (tRNA) molecules are approximately 80 nucleotides in length. Their secondary structure includes four short double-helical elements and three loops (D, anti-codon, and T loops). The record is from RNAcentral. Lineage: Bacteria; Pseudomonadati; Bacteroidota; Flavobacteriia; Flavobacteriales; Flavobacteriaceae.
GAUUUCGUAGCUCAGCUGGAAGAGCAUCUCACUUUUAAUGAGAGGGUCGUGGGUUCGAGCCCCACCGGAAUCA